RNAcentral lists this ribosomal RNA (377 nucleotides) under Betta compuncta. RNAcentral's name for it is "partial 12S ribosomal RNA". It matches the Rfam family "Bacterial small subunit ribosomal RNA", at positions 801 to 1384 of the family's 1533-position model. Lineage: Eukaryota; Metazoa; Chordata; Actinopteri; Anabantiformes; Osphronemidae. The record is from RNAcentral.
UAAACAUUGAUAUUUAUUACACCCACUAUCCGCCCGGGUACUACGAGCAUGAGCUUAAAACCCAAAGGACUUGGCGGUGCUUAAGAUCCCCCUAGAGGAGCCUGUUCUAGAACCGAUAAUCCCCGUUUAACCUCACCCUCUUUUGUUUUUUCCGCCUAUAUACCGCCGUCGUCAGCUUACCCCAUGAGGGAUUAAUAGUGAGCAAAAAUGGCACAGCCUAAAACGUCAGGUCGAGGUGUAGCAUAUAAGAGGGGAAGAAAUGGGCUACAUUCUCUAAAAUAGAGAACACGGAUAAUAUAUUGAAAUAUAUAUUUUAAGGAGGAUUUAGUAGUAAGUAAAAAUCAGAAUGUUUCACUGAAAUAGGCCCUAAAGCGUGC